GAAAUAAUGGCUGACUAUAGGCAAUAAAUUGUAAAUUUAUUAAUGAAUUAAUUUCUUAUUUCA
Molecule: transfer RNA, 63 nt
Filed under: Curculionoidea sp. 11 KM-2017
Lineage: Eukaryota; Metazoa; Arthropoda; Insecta; Coleoptera
Description: tRNA-Tyr
Source: RNAcentral